UACGAAGGGGGCGAGCGUUGUUCGGAAUUACUGGGCGUAAAGGGCGCGUAGGCGGCCCUCUUUGUCGCGUGUGAAAGCCCCGGGCUCAACCUGGGAACGGCGCGCGAAACUGCCGGGCUUGAGUAUGGGAGAGGUGAGUGGAAUUUCCGGUGUAGCGGUGAAAUGCGUAGAUAUCGGAAGGAACACCUGUGGCGAAAGCGGCUCACUGGACCAUUACUGACGCUGAGGCACGAAAGCUAGGGGAGCAAACAGG
This 253-nucleotide ribosomal RNA is filed under the name uncultured bacterium. RNAcentral's name for it is "partial 16S ribosomal RNA". It matches the Rfam family "Bacterial small subunit ribosomal RNA", at positions 524 to 776 of the family's 1533-position model. The record is from RNAcentral.